AUCUACAGCCAUACCACCUCACGCCCGAUCUUAUCUGGUCUCAGAAGCUAAGCAGGGUCGGGCCUGGUUAGUACUUGGGUGGGAGGUCUCAGAUUCUUCCCACCUGGAUCUUCAUGUCCUCUGUGUC
This is a ribosomal RNA of Erinaceus europaeus (western European hedgehog), 127 nucleotides long. NCBI's taxonomy places the organism in Eukaryota, Metazoa, Chordata, Mammalia, Eulipotyphla, Erinaceidae. The record is from Ensembl.